CGACGAACUCUGGUAUUGAUUGGUGCUUGCAUCAUGAUUUACAUUUGAGUGAGUGGCGAACUGGUGAGUAACACGUGGGAAACCUGCCCAGAAGCGGGGGAUAACACCUGGAAACAGAUGCUAAUACCGCAUAACAACUUGGACCGCAUGGUCCGAGUUUGAAAGAUGGCUUCGGCUAUCACUUUUGGAUGGUCCCGCGGCGUAUUAGCUAGAUGGUGGGGUAACGGCUCACCAUGGCAAUGAUACGUAGCCGACCUGAGAGGGUAAUCGGCCACAUUGGGACUGAGACACGGCCCAAACUCCUACGGGAGGCAGCAGUAGGGAAUCUUCCACAAUGGACGAAAGUCUGAUGGAGCAACGCCGCGUGAGUGAAGAAGGGUUUCGGCUCGUAAAACUCUGUUGUUAAAGAAGAACAUAUCUGAGAGUAACUGUUCAGGUAUUGACGGUAUUUAACCAGAAAGCCACGGCUAACUACGUGCCAGCAGCCGCGGUAAUACGUAGGUGGCAAGCGUUGUCCGGAUUUAUUGGGCGUAAAGCGAGCGCAGGCGGUUUUUUAAGUCUGA
RNAcentral lists this ribosomal RNA (563 nucleotides) under Lactiplantibacillus plantarum. RNAcentral describes it as "bacterial SSU rRNA". It matches the Rfam family "Bacterial small subunit ribosomal RNA", at positions 60 to 592 of the family's 1533-position model. The record is from RNAcentral. Lineage: Bacteria; Bacillati; Bacillota; Bacilli; Lactobacillales; Lactobacillaceae.